RNAcentral lists this long non-coding RNA (3032 nucleotides) under Lynx pardinus (Iberian lynx). Lineage: Eukaryota; Metazoa; Chordata; Mammalia; Carnivora; Felidae. The record is from RNAcentral.
CCGGGCGGUGGAGCUCCUCGAGAGGCUCCAGCGCAGCGGGGAGCUGCCCCCGCAGAAGCUGCAGGCCCUCCAGCGAGUCUUGCAGAGCCGCUUCUGUUCUGCCAUCCGGGAGGUGAGAGCAGCGCGGCGCCGGGACACAGGCGGGGGGGCGCCCNCGCCCGUCCUGAUCGUCGCCCCGAGCUCAGGGACUACGCCUCCCAGCAGCGCCGGGGGGCGGCCCGCCUUGGGGUGCCAGCGCUUCAGCUCCGGGUUUCUUCGGGAGUUGUAGUUUCCUCGGGCUCCAGGUCGCGGGGGCGGGGCGGAUCCUUGGGUGGGAGGGUCUGCGGGCCUGGACUCCGGCGUUGAAGGGAGGAGGGGGCUGGUGGCUCGCUGAUGCUGCUGCGUCCUCACCAGGUGUAUGAGCAGCUCUAUGACACGCUGGACAUCACCGGCAGUGCUGAAAUCCGGGCCCACGCCACGGCCAAGGUUGGUGUCCCCCACCCCAUCACCCACGCUAUCCGCUGAACUGCAUGGUCUGGUUUAGUAUCUUCCUAAAGUCAACCGUGCCCGUUUCCUCCUUCGUGAUUUUUGCCGAAUCUAUGUACCAGCGUUAUUGUUAUUUACUGAUCUUUUCAAUAAUCUCACGUUUUACUUAAAUGUCAUAUAAAGGCAUCUGUAGCAACCGCCAGUGGAAGCUAGUACCGCAUACCUGACAAGAGGAUACCCUUUAACACCUAUACAACGAAAUAGCCUUAAACACUGAAAUCUUAGUGAACUAUAGUUGUAUGCUAUUUCUUGCCGCCCCCUGGAGGCUCUCAGUUCCUUCCAGGCCUUGUUUUUCUCUGUUAAAAAUCGAGAUUGGCAAGUGGUGAGUAUUUAAGAGGCACUCAUACCAAAAUGGAGACAUUCUCUUUGAUGUCUGAAGCAUUGAGAGGGAACUAAAAGGGACUCAUAACAGUGUGAGCUUGUGUUGAACGGCGGCAGGUGCCCCGUGAGUGGGGAAAGUGAUCUGGCCUAAAUUGCUCUCCCUGGCCCAGAUCCUCCCCCCUCGUCCGUACACCCACCAGGGAGGGGCCCUCACCUCCCCACACUUUUUCUCUCCUAGGCCACGGUGGCUGCCUUCACAGCCAGUGAGGGCCAUGCACAUCCCAGGGUAGUGGAGCUGCCCAAGACAGAUGAGGGCCUGGGCUUCAACAUCAUGGGGGGCAAGGAGCAGAACUCCCCCAUCUAUAUCUCCCGUGUCAUCCCUGGAGGCGUGGCUGACCGCCACGGAGGCCUCAAGCGCGGCGACCAGCUGCUGUCCGUGAAUGGCGUGGUGAGUGGGGACUGAGGCUGGGCUCCCGGUCUGUUCAAGGUUAGCACAGUCCCUGCUUUUGACAUUCAUUCAACAUGCACCGCUUGAGUACUGCCUCUUUGUCCAGCCCUGUGCUGGGCACCGCUAGAGACACUGAAAGAAGUUUGCCUCAGCUCCCAUAUUCAAGGACUCCUUUUUGGUGAGAGAGAUAGACUCUGACUGAAAUAAUCUUGAUCCAGGGAGAUAAUAAUGAGGAAGCACAAAGCAUUAUGAGAGCCCAAAUGGGACACCAGACCAGCGUAGGUGAGGGAAGUUUUUGCAGAGGAAGGAACAUUUGAGUUGGGUUUUGAAGGAUGCAGAGGAGUUCUCCAGGCAAAUAGGGUAGAGAAGAGUAUUACUAGCUGAGGAUGUUGUAGGUCGGGGCUGUGACUCUACACUCCUCUGAGCUGAACAGAAAGGGCUUGGGGCCAGCCAUGCAGGGCCCAAGUGUCAACCUGGGAAGCUGGGACUUCAUCUCAAGGGUUCUGGGGAGCCUUGGGAAGGCUGUGAACAGCGGAGGGAUAGGCUCAGCUUGGAGGGGUCGAAGGACCCCUUUGGAACUCUAUAGGGGAUGGACUGAAGGUAGAGACUGGAGGCCAGAAGUUCUAGGAGGAGGCUAGGUGAAAGUCCCUGGGGAGAAGAUGAGGCCUGAACUGGGGCCAGGGUGGCAGGGACAAAGUAGGGAGUCAGAGCAGGAGGGAUGGGGCCGGGGAACAGCAGGCUUUGGGGACGGAGGGGGUAAAGGUGGACUUGGAGGUCCGGCUUGGUGACUGAGGGCUUUGAGGGCUUGUCCCUGACAUGAGGAACUUGGCAGGUUUGGGGGGAGGAGGACGCUGAGCCAAGAGCGAAUGUGCCUCUCCCAGAAGGACACAAGGCCCUGGCAGCCCGGGCUGGUACCAGGCUCACCCACAGUAGGGUCGGGGCUGGGUGUGGGUGGGAGGCCCCAGGCCCAGGUGUCUGUACACCGCCCUGCAGAGUGUUGAGGGUGAGCAGCACGAGAAGGCAGUGGAGCUGCUGAAGGCAGCCCAGGGCUCGGUGAAGCUGGUGGUGCGUUACACGCCUCGCGUGCUGGAGGAGAUGGAGGCCCGCUUCGAGAAGAUGCGCUCUGCUCGCCGGCGCCAGCAGCACCAGAGCUACUCGUGAGCCCUUUGCCACCACACCCCUGUGGCCUCCACCGCCUCCUUUAUCCCCAGAGUCCCAGACCAGACCAGUGACUUCUGGGACGUUGAUGGCCACCACCCCCAGCCCCGGCUUCUCUCUCUGGGGUUCUGACCCUUGACCCCUGACCCAGGCUCUCACAAGCUAUUCUGGCUAAAUCCUUUGGGGGGUCUCCUGGGCUCACUUUCGUCCCAAGGUCUGCAGCCGACUCUCCAGAAUCCCUCAGUCCACUGCCCUGGGCCCAGGCCCGGCUCUCUCCCAUGCCUCCCCAGGUCCCCUUCCCUGAGCUUGACUCCCCUCUCUUCCCCCUCUUUGCAGGUCCUUGGAGUCUCGAGGCUGAAACCACAGAUCUGGACCCUCACCCUCACCCCCUCCCCUGUACAGUAUUUAUUGUCACCGGCUCCUUAUUUAAAGAUCUUUGACCCUCAUUGAGUGUCUGUGUAUCUGUCCUGCAUCCUGGGGCUAGAGUGUCUUGAGAUGUUGGGGGUGGGUGGAGAGAAGUUGAAGUCCAGAGACUGCUUUUCAGAGCCUGAGAGCAGAGGCAGAACUUUCCCCCAAGGUC